Arachis ipaensis is the source of this 359-nucleotide non-coding RNA. The record is from RefSeq and is a predicted model, not a curated record. NCBI's taxonomy places the organism in Eukaryota, Viridiplantae, Streptophyta, Magnoliopsida, Fabales, Fabaceae.
AUCAUUGUUAGGCACUCGUGGCACUAUGCCGGGACAAGAUAUCUGAAACGAGGAGUGAAUGAAAAGGGAAGAGUAGCUAAUGAUGUUGAGACAGAGCAGAUAGUCUUUGCAGAUGCUCGUGAUGGAAGCCCGAUGAAAAUAAGUUCCGUGGUGCAGAUCCGAGAUUCAAUCCCUCUAUUCUGGUCUCAAGAAGCCUUUCCAUUGAACAAAAAACCUGACAUUAUAUUAUCAAAGAAGGACAACACCUUUGAAGCCACAAGGCUUCAUUUUGAAAAUCUUGUUAAGAGAUAUGGAAAUCCAAUUAUCAUAUUGAACUUGAUUAAGACACAUGAGAAGAAACCACGAGAAACUAUUCUUUG